GUGGGUAUGCUCAGUGGUACAGCAUAUGCUUAGCAAGCACGAGGUCCUGGGUUCAAUCCCCAGUAUCUCCA
This 71-nucleotide transfer RNA is filed under the name Camelus bactrianus (Bactrian camel). It matches the Rfam family "tRNA". From Rfam's summary of the family: Transfer RNA (tRNA) molecules are approximately 80 nucleotides in length. The record is from Rfam by way of RNAcentral. RNAcentral also lists the same sequence under 2 other names. Lineage: Eukaryota; Metazoa; Chordata; Mammalia; Artiodactyla; Camelidae.